Hippocampus comes (tiger tail seahorse) is the source of this 134-nucleotide small nucleolar RNA. NCBI's taxonomy places the organism in Eukaryota, Metazoa, Chordata, Actinopteri, Syngnathiformes, Syngnathidae. The record is from Ensembl.
AGCGAGGCUAGAGUCACACUUUGACAUUGCAUCGUUGUCCUGGUUGUGCUAGAGUGCUCGCAGAGAAAAUAUCCCUGCUUAUUCAUUGGCUGUUGGCUCCAGUGGCUCGGCCAAUCACCAGCUUGGAUACAUUA